GAGCGUUCCUAUAGUGAUUCCAAGUCAUUUAUGACUUGCUGGGACUGACAGAUCGGUCACCUGGUCAUUCGUUUUGUUAUUGUGUGAGCUUUAGUAUUUUUGAAGCUUAUGAACCUUGAACGAUCAUUUUCGAUCAAAAGUUCAAGAAGAUGACAUCAGAAUCCAAUUCUGACAAUUCCAUCAGUUCCGGAAGGGUCAUUUUAGUCUAGUAGCAUUGUCGACAUGACUCCCAAAGUUUUCAGUGUGAGUUGGUGGGAUUAGGCGUUUUAACUUUAAGUUUAAAGGCUAAGUUUGACUUUAGUCAACAUUCUGAGUAAACGCGCUCGGAUGAGAAUUCCGUCAGCGCGGUUAGCUCCGGAAUGUCGAGUUUGGUCUAGUUUGACCCUUCUUUCGGGUUUUGAGGUUUUUGAUAUUUUUCCGAGCCCUUUUGUGGUUUUUGACUUAAAAUGGCCAAUGGAAGUGGGACCCACAUUUUAUCGAGAUGACCUCUGAUGAAAAUUUCGACUGCGCCUUUGAGUCCGGAAUGUCGACUUUGGUAGGGUAGCAUAUCUAUUUUAUUUUUAUCAGGUUCCGAACGGAUUCCGAGCACCCGUCGGAGACUUUAAAGAAAGUAGGCAAAGCUGAAUCUGGUGCAGCCCCUAUAAAAACCCCAACUUUCAGCUUUAUGUUUUACUUUGGAACUUGAUAUCUUGAGCGAUACAACUCCGAAUUGGGCGAUUCAAAAGGCUAAGUUGUGAGAUUUUUCGAGGGCAACACAUUGGUGAGCUUGGAAUCUGAUUUGGGGACACGAUUUGAGGUCCGAAUCAAGUGAUUCAAGAGCCUAUAUUGUGGGGUUUUUCGUGAGGAUCGUCGUGGUGUGAUUGGUUUUGGCUGUUGGAGCUUCAUUUUUGGUAAAAUCUGUGUAUCAACGUUUCGAGGCCUUUUAGAAAGUAAAAGAUCCGGGGAGUGAAUUUUGGAGCGCGCGUGAUCUGCGUUCAGGUCCGAGCACCAGUAGUCAGCGUUGAUCGAGUUUGGAACAUUUCUAGUCUGGAGAC
This is a long non-coding RNA of Solanum pennellii, 1034 nucleotides long. RefSeq lists it as uncharacterized. The record is from RefSeq and is a predicted model, not a curated record. NCBI's taxonomy places the organism in Eukaryota, Viridiplantae, Streptophyta, Magnoliopsida, Solanales, Solanaceae. The transcript has 4 exons.